AUGUUACAGCGGAAACUUGAGGCCAUUAAUCCUCAGGGUAGGACCGAGGGACAGGAGCGGUAGAUCUAUCUGGGUGUAGCGAGCCCAGCCCCAGGCCCAGCAUAACGGACCUCGGGGUGACUUUGUGCCCAACGCAUAAAUCCGCUAGGUUUGAGUCUUCCUACUUGCACUUCACACAUAUCAAUGGCCUUGCAAACCAUUGGUUGCAUUUUAAGACAAGGCACGGUU
This 228-nucleotide long non-coding RNA is filed under the name Helianthus annuus (common sunflower). RNAcentral describes it as "sRNA HanXRQr2_Chr15g0701251". The record is from RNAcentral. Lineage: Eukaryota; Viridiplantae; Streptophyta; Magnoliopsida; Asterales; Asteraceae.